RNAcentral lists this transfer RNA (72 nucleotides) under Anneissia japonica. RNAcentral's name for it is "tRNA-Pro". It matches the Rfam family "tRNA". From Rfam's summary of the family: Transfer RNA (tRNA) molecules are approximately 80 nucleotides in length. Lineage: Eukaryota; Metazoa; Echinodermata; Crinoidea; Comatulida; Comatulidae. The record is from RNAcentral.
GGCUUGUUAGUCUAGUGGCAUGAUUCUCGCUUUGGGUAUGAGAGGCCCCGGGUUCAAUUCCCGGACGAGCCC